RNAcentral lists this ribosomal RNA (1372 nucleotides) under uncultured bacterium. Its description in RNAcentral is "bacterial SSU rRNA". It matches the Rfam family "Bacterial small subunit ribosomal RNA", at positions 28 to 1381 of the family's 1533-position model. The record is from RNAcentral.
GAUGAACGCUGGCGGCGUGCCUAAUACAUGCAAGUCGAGCGAACGGACGAGAAGCUUGCUUCUCUGAUGUUAGCGGCGGACGGGUGAGUAACACGUGGAUAACCUACCCAUAAGACUGGGAUAACUUCGGGAAACCGGGGCUAAUACCGGAUAAUAUUUUGAACCGCAUGGUUCAAAAGUGAAAGACGGUCUUGCUGUCACUUAUGGAUGGAUCCGCGCUGCAUUAGCUAGUUGGUAAGGUAACGGCUUACCAAGGCAACGAUGCAUAGCCGACCUGAGAGGGUGAUCGGCCACACUGGAACUGAGACACGGUCCAGACUCCUACGGGAGGCAGCAGUAGGGAAUCUUCCGCAAUGGGCGAAAGCCUGACGGAGCAACGCCGCGUGAGUGAUGAAGGUCUUCGGAUCGUAAAACUCUGUUAUUAGGGAAGAACAUAUGUGUAAGUAACUGUGCACAUCUUGACGGUACCUAAUCAGAAAGCCACGGCUAACUACGUGCCAGCAGCCGCGGUAAUACGUAGGUGGCAAGCGUUAUCCGGAAUUAUUGGGCGUAAAGCGCGCGUAGGCGGUUUUUUAAGUCUGAUGUGAAAGCCCACGGCUCAACCGUGGAGGGUCAUUGGAAACUGGAAAACUUGAGUGCAGAAGAGGAAAGUGGAAUUCCAUGUGUAGCGGUGAAAUGCGCAGAGAUAUGGAGGAACACCAGUGGCGAAGGCGACUUUCUGGUCUGUAACUGACGCUGAUGUGCGAAAGCGUGGGGAUCAAACAGGGUUAGAUACCCUGGUAGUCCACGCCGUAAACGAUGAGUGCUAAGUGUUAGGGGGUUUCCGCCCCUUAGUGCUGCAGCUAACGCAUUAAGCACUCCGCCUGGGGAGUACGACCGCAAGGUUGAAACUCAAAGGAAUUGACGGGGACCCGCACAAGCGGUGGAGCAUGUGGUUUAAUUCGAAGCAACGCGAAGAACCUUACCAAAUCUUGACAUCCUUUGACAACUCUAGAGAUAGAGCCUUCCCCUUCGGGGGACAAAGUGACAGGUGGUGCAUGGUUGUCGUCAGCUCGUGUCGUGAGAUGUUGGGUUAAGUCCCGCAACGAGCGCAACCCUUAAGCUUAGUUGCCAUCAUUAAGUUGGGCACUCUAAGUUGACUGCCGGUGACAAACCGGAGGAAGGUGGGGAUGACGUCAAAUCAUCAUGCCCCUUAUGAUUUGGGCUACACACGUGCUACAAUGGACAAUACAAAGGGCAGCGAAACCGCGAGGUCAAGCAAAUCCCAUAAAGUUGUUCUCAGUUCGGAUUGUAGUCUGCAACUCGACUACAUGAAGCUGGAAUCGCUAGUAAUCGUAGAUCAGCAUGCUACGGUGAAUACGUUCCCGGGUCU